This 118-nucleotide ribosomal RNA is filed under the name Lachnospiraceae bacterium TWA4. Lineage: Bacteria; Bacillati; Bacillota; Clostridia; Lachnospirales; Lachnospiraceae. The record is from RNAcentral.
UUUGGUGUCGAUGCGCUUAGGGGAAAUACCCGUUCCCAUCCCGAACACGAUGGUCAAGCCCUAAGCGGCCGAUAAUACUAUACUGGAGACGGUAUGGGAAGGUAGGUGGAUGCCAAAG